UAGGGAAUCUUCCGCAAUGGGCGAAAGCUUGACGGAGCAACGCCGCGUGAGUGAUGAAGGUCUUCGGAUCGUAAAACUCUGUUAUUAGGGAAGAACAAAUGUAUAAGUAACUAUGCACGUCUUGACGGUACCUAAUCAGAAAGCCACGGCUAACUACGUGCCAGCAGCCGCGGUAAUACGUAGGUGGCAAGCGUUAUCCGGAAUUAUUGGGCGUAAAGCGCGCGUAGGCGGUUUUUUAAGUCUGAUGUGAAAGCCCACGGCUCAACCGUGGAGGGUCAUUGGAAACUGGAAAACUUGAGUGCAGAAGAGGAAAGUGGAAUUCCAUGUGUAGCGGUGAAAUGCGCAGAGAUAUGGAGGAACACCAGUGGCGAAGGCGACUUUCUGGUCUGUAACUGACGCUGAUGUGCGAAAGCGUGGGGAUCAAACAGG
RNAcentral lists this ribosomal RNA (429 nucleotides) under Actinomycetes bacterium. RNAcentral describes it as "Actinobacteria bacterium partial 16S ribosomal RNA". It matches the Rfam family "Bacterial small subunit ribosomal RNA", at positions 355 to 776 of the family's 1533-position model. Lineage: Bacteria; Bacillati; Actinomycetota; Actinomycetes. The record is from RNAcentral.